CAGUCGCCGCGGGAAUACGUAGGGUGCAAGCGUUAAUCGGAAUUACUGGGCGUAAAGCGUGCGCAGGCGGUUUGUUAAGACAGAUGUGAAAUCCCCGGGCUCAACCUGGGAACUGCAUUUGUGACUGGCAAGCUAGAGUGUGGCAGAGGGGGGUGGAAUUCCGCGUGUAGCAGUGAAAUGCGUAGAUAUGCGGAGGAACACCGAUGGCGAAGGCAGCCCCCUGGGCCAACACUGACGCUCAUGCACGAAAGCGUGGGGAGCAAACAGGAUUAGAUACCCCAGUAGUCCUGUCUCUUAUACC
RNAcentral lists this ribosomal RNA (301 nucleotides) under uncultured bacterium. RNAcentral describes it as "partial 16S ribosomal RNA". It matches the Rfam family "Bacterial small subunit ribosomal RNA", at positions 509 to 808 of the family's 1533-position model. The record is from RNAcentral.